GUCAAACCACUGUCGUGUUGACUGUGUUGUGUUCAAGAUUUUUUUGUUUUGUAUGAUUCAGUUUACCAUUUUUCCGUAGUUUAGCCAUUUGUCGCGUGAAUUUCCCCAAUAAUUUAUUAUUUUUUUAUAAACCGCUUUGUAAAUUUGCAAGGUGGUCACGCAAAAUUUGUUGGAAAUUAUAUUAAGAACGACAUAAUAGGUCAAGGCAAGCGGGGAUAUAUUAUGGUUUCUCCCAUACUUUUGUGAUAAAAAAUUCCAAGUUUAGAAAAACUUUGAAGAUUAUGCUUGUAGAAAAAAGUUGAUAAACAACAAUAUUCGACUAAAAAUCCAAUGGAAUCCAUCAGAAAGUGGUUAUACAAGCCGAAGAAAGAUGACAAAUCUCUGCUAGCCCAAUUCUUCUAUGCUGAUGAAGAACUAAACAAAGUGGCUAACGAACUAGACAGUUUUGAUGGCAGAAAAGACCCGGAGAGAUGUACAACUUUAGUUAAUCAACUUAGACAAGCCCAGGAUUAUGUUCUGAUAAUAAUCAAUGCAAUUAUGGAUGCGGUAAUUGGAGAUGAGAGAGCUAAUAGAGGCUUUAGGGUUAAAUUUCCCGAGGACGUUCUGCAAGAUAAUUUGGCAGGGCAGUUAUGGUUUGGAGCAGAGUGCUUGGCAGCAGGUUCAUCAAUAAUGAACCGAGAAUUUGAAAGCACAUCAAUGCGACCCAUAGCAAAAGCCGUGACAAAAAGUCUGGAGAACGUACGCAAUCUUCUACGCGAAGCCUCUUUAAACAACAACACCCCCAAUGGUCCAAUAAAACUGGACGAUAACGACUGGUUUACCGAAAUGCUUCUCGAAAGCCUUAAAAUUUUUGAUCGACUUUUCGCCGAAUUUGAACUUGCCUACGUCAGCGCCAUGGUUCCGGUAAAAUCCACCCAGGAAUACGAGCUACAAGAGUUGAUCGGAGUGUUGUUCUCUGAAACCCUUCAGAGGGCGCUUAAGAUGAAUUUGCUUACACAAGAAAUGGUUGACGACUGUGAUCCUGCCCUGAUGUUCACUAUUCCCAGGUUGGCUAUAGUUAGUGGCCUACUAAUUUACCCAAACGGACCAUUAUGUAUUGAUCGACCGAUGGACAAGAUGAGCGAAAUGUUUCGCCCUUUUCGGACGUUACUGCAUAAAAUACGGGAGCUUUUAUGGAUUUUAAAUAAGAGGGAGUUAUUUAUGCUGGAGAAAUUGCUUUGCGAUAACGAGCAACUGGAUGGAGUGAGGUCGGUUAAUGUCCAGAUCAACGAUGAGGAUUUCGAGCAGUUUUACAACGAUUUUCCCGUGUAUCAGGAUUUAAUGUUUAAUUCGUUUGAAGAAAGCGUCACGCCUACAGAGGAGACGCCUCAGAAGAAAAUUGUCACUGAGAGCGAUUUGGUGUUGGAUGGACCGUCCACCUCUGGGUAUUUGAUUCCGAAGAAUGUAGUUAGGAAUACUAUAAUUGCGUCCUCUGCGUCACCGAAUCCUAGAGGACAGGCUUCGUCGGUGGAGUCUCCUCCAGACCACGACUCGCUGGAGGUGAUCUCAGCCGCCGCGGCCACCCUUUCUUCCAUAUUAACUAUCAACGAAUCUGCCUCGCCUAAAAAAACUCUUAACGAUCCCGAGUCGCCCGACGACUCGGGCAUUUGCACAGAAACCACCAGCUUAGAUCGAUCGCCUAGUUUAGAAAUAUCGGAACACAAAGACUGCCAGCGCAAUAGUCCCUGUAAAAAAUCCGCACUGAGACACAGAAAGACGCAGAGUUGCCUUAAGAAAAGUCCCUGUGGGAGACAACGGAGUCCUGUUAACGAUAUAACCAAUAGCGGCUCGAGUAGUAGUUCGGAAACGUCUAGUUUCAACAGUAAUUCGGCUGAUGACGAGGAGAUUGCUUAUGCUAUCAAAGCUGUCGAAAUGGCGAAUCGGGAGGAACUUAGGGCUAAGUAUAGAUCGAGCGAAGACCUGAUCCACCGCCUUUUCGUCUGCAUCGCCGGAGUGGCGGAUCAGUUACAAACCAACUUCGCGUGCGACCUACGCAACAUCCUCAAGUCUGUAUUCCUGAUCAACGCAUCGGACUCCAACGAACAGCCGCCGCCUCUUGUAAAAACCCCCGACACCCACUCGCUGGACACUUCGAUCGAGUACCACCCCAGCGAAGACGAGGUGAUCGAGAACAACGAGUUUUCUGUCGAUCCGAACAUUUUGGCCCAAGAAGCUCUCUUCGACACCAACGUGUACUUCCACUUGGACAGCGAGAAUUGUCCCGGUUCGGAUGCCUAUACGAACCAUCCUAGACAGUACCAUGACAUAGACGAAAGUCUUAGUGCGGAUUUGACUCGUUUCGCGUCGAUUCAAGAAAACGACCGCUCGAGACAAGAGAGGGACGCAGAAGAACCUCCGCCCUCUGACGAGGUCAACGAAAGACUUCAGGCGCCUCCCGUUUGGAUUCCGGACGUUCAAGCGCCGAAAUGUAUGAGUUGCGGCUUAAACUUUACUGUGAUGAAGAGGCGGCACCACUGUCGCAACUGCGGUAAAGUGUUUUGUGCGCGUUGCUCGUCCAAUAGUGUGCCUCUGCCCAAGUUUGGAUUGGUGAAGCCGGUACGGGUGUGCAAUAAAUGUUUUAUGUUUAAUCUGACGCCGUUUACGAUUCACUGAUCGGGUCGCGUUCUUGGAUUCCUUGGAGGUUCUUAAAGGUUGUGCUUCUUAUAGUUCUCACUACAAUAUCCAAACCACUUGGCUUCGCUAGUAUCCAAAAAUGCAUGCAGUCCCACAAAACUCUUCCCACUACCAAACUGAAUUAUUACUUGUUCAAUGUCGACUCUAAGGAAUCCGAGAAGACCAGCGCAAUGUUAAACAGUGCAUAGGCAUACUGUACUUACGGUUGUGAGAUUAUUUUUUUAUAAGAAUAUACACAUUGUUAUCUGCCAGUGUUGAUUUACCCUGACUAUAUGCAGUUUUGCUCAGGCGUUGCCUCCAAAUUAGGUUUUGACUUCAUAAAAUAUUAUCUGUGACGAAAAUACAAUUUAUGACUUGUAGACGUUUUGUACGGAGGUUAAUAACCUUUUAUUAAGUAUUUUUUAGAAGCCUGGGAUAAAAGUCUUGUAUAUGAUCGAAAAUGUCAAUAUAUGCUACUAUUUA
This is an RNA transcript of Anthonomus grandis grandis, 3135 nucleotides long. It is a transcript of the gene named lateral signaling target protein 2 homolog, with no coding region annotated. Lineage: Eukaryota; Metazoa; Arthropoda; Insecta; Coleoptera; Curculionidae. The transcript has 6 exons. The record is from RefSeq and is a predicted model, not a curated record.